AUGUCGUAGAGAUUACGAGGUUCGCUGCUAGAUGGCGCUUAUAUUAAAGUGCUCAGACAAAUAAAUAUGGACAAGUAGUUGGAGCUUUAUAAUCUGUAUAUAGACUUAAUAUAUGGUUAGAGGUAUUCCACAAGUAACGAAAGGUAUGGAAUCCGAAACCGACUUUAAAAACAAAUGUCACAUAUUAUCUGUGCAAUUUGUUGAUUGUACUCUGUAAGAAAGAUGAAUCGGUAACUUUAUAGCUUUGCUAUUGGUGAGGUUUUUUAUGAAGAAAGUCCCGUUAUCUUCUCGUUAUAUACUCGGGCACGUUCGAGUUUUUUUCUUUUGGCUGGCUGAAAUUUGGAGACAUGUAGUUGACUUUCCAAAACAUUAAAUUUACUUAGAGGCAGUGAUGUAAGAUACUUGGUAAGACUCGAAUUUAUAUUUGGUUAGCAUUCGUGAUUAUCGAAUUUUGUUGUGCUAAAGAGACAAAUUCUUGCAGUUCCGGUCAACCAUAAAAAUUUCCCGUGAGAUGUUAAGAUGGCUACCUACUGGGAACUAGGGCGGGAUAUCCUUUUAAGGUACUCGGUUGAAAUUGUUUUUUUCUUUGUCCGGCGUAGGUCAAACUUUAGUGACAUGUGCUAACCUCCGUAUUUUGUUACAGGAUGGGAAUGUAAUAUAUUCUGAACUUAACCUAACCUAUAUACGUGACCUAAUGUAAUCACACUUCUUCUUAAUACAACCACGUUAUUAUGUAGAAACGUAGAUUGGUUGUAGACAUUUGAAACGCCGGUUCUGAAACCUUUGGUCAUUCUUGGAACAUUUUUAUGGAACCUGAGUUGACUAUUACAUUUAAUCAUUUGCACGCGUCGAGUAGCAUGCUGUUAGCGGCGUAAAUCUUGGAGGUUCGCUGGCCGCCAGACAAAAUGACGGACGGAUGAAUGCAACAGCAAGGUCAGCGACCGCGUGGUGUCAGCUUCCAUCAUAAACGUCAGGUCGUACCUAUUCUUUCUUUUGUUAAAUGGAGUCAUGCUAAAACUUCUAUUUUUAUAUAUUGUUUUUUUUAAAAGGAUGCGUUACAUUAAUUGUUGGUGGUGAUUCGGAUAUACCGUUCAGAUUACAAUAAGAUUUAGAGAUAACUAGACCUCUUUCGUGAGUGUUUAAAAUGCAACGUGUUUGUUGUCCCUUUAGUAUAAACGUGUGUAAUUGCUAAGCGAACUUAAAUGGAAUCAUCCUUGUGGAUUUGGCUGGUAGCGAUGUGAAUUCAUAACUUCUAGUGCGUUGUUCGACGGACCCACUUUAAAUACCUAGCCGUGGCAGUGGUUUGGUCAACAAAAAUCCAAACGCUAUAUCGACACCAUCUAAUCCCCAAGGAUUGGUAUAAUAAAACAAAUAUUUGAGAUAACCACUGUUUAUUUACAAAGUAUGUACAAAGUAACUUAACAUUUAGGAAACCUGGUUUUUUUUAUGUAAUUUAACCCAUUAAUAUUUUGUCCUUUUAGGGUUUCUCAAGGGUUUAGCAUUACUUUUAUAUUGUAAAAAAAAGGGUUCAUCUAAAAAUAUAGAAGCCAAAUACCGGUGAUUACUGUAAAAGUGUUUUUUUUGUUUACUUAACCCCGCAUCCUCCUACGGGUAUAGAUCCGAAAGCCAGAAUCUCGGUGGUAACAUUUGAGAUUCUGGUCUACAAGCUGUAUGUUUGGCUGGUGACGCACUAGAAAUUUCAUCCAAAUCGUUUCACAAAAACCGGCACAAACUAUAAGGCUUGCAGUGGCGCCUGGGGAUUUUUUUUAUUAAUCCUAAAGGAUCUGUACAACGUGGGAGAGAAAAGGGAAUAAUAGAAUCAUCCGAACACCACUCUAACAAUAUUUUUUUUUGUUUUCUGUUCCAAUUUCUAUUACUAUAAGAUUUUGUUUCAGCAUAAGCUUAAUAUAAAAUAACCCAUGAUCAUUUUUUUUGUGAUGGUGUAUUUGGCAUAGUUAGUUAUGUUUAUAGAGAAAUUUAAUUACUGAAUUUUUAGUUAUUAUUGUUAUUUUAAGUAACUCAAUAUUAAUUUAAUGUUUUAAAAAAUAGUUGUACCAUCACCAAUAAAUAAUGUCAGGUCAUAGGGAAAUACAGUUUCACUCUUUGAGGAAGGAUGAGCUGGUAUACGAGGUCUCGAUCAGAUCCGAGACUCCGGGUAGUACUGUAGAUGAGCUUAGGAGGCAGAUGCGAGGCCUCAUGAUUGAGUGCCCCUCGACUGCCAUAUUAGAAACAAAUAUAGACAGCAACACCGAAUUAGUAAUAAUUAAUGAUAAGUUAAAUGAACUAGCCACAAUUAUUGAAGGAUGGGGAAAAUCAGGUGAUAGGGGAUCUAUAGCAAGGGCAGAGGCCCUAGCCUAUCACCUGUUUCAUAGAGUAAACAGAUUGAAGGUCGACGAAUCAGCUAAGGUUUCAGCCAAGGUCGGGGAGGCCAGACUGAGAUUAGGAAAAUUUAUUGCAAUCAUUGAAGCGCCUGGAAAAAAUGUUUCAGAACAAUUGUCUACAUCUUCUAAGCCGUCACCUUCAGCGGAGGCUUCGGAAAUAGAGUGCUCCGGGGACAAAAACCUGGCGAAGUGGAACCUAAAAUUUAAUGGCUCCACCGAUCCGCGCUCCUUCGUCGAACGAGUGGAGGAGCUUCAGCUUUGCUACGGUGUCUCUGAGGCUAAACUCUUCAGGUCGGCGGUUCAGCUGUUUGAAGAUCAGGCACUACUCUGGUACAGAGGUAUCAGAGAUCAGGUACGCUCUUGGUCUGACCUUAAAAAUCUUUUAUUAGAGGAAUUUGACCCCGUCGAUUAUGACUAUAGGUUGCGAGGAGAGAUAAGAUCUAGGACGCAGGGGGCUGAAGAGCCCGUGCAUAUAUAUUUUUCUAUAAUGGCUUGCUUGUUUGCUCGGCUGAGGACUUCGAUGUCCGAGGUCGAAAAAUUAGAAAUUCUAUUACACAAUGUACGCCCAAAGUUUUCGCAGCAGCUCGCGUUGACAACCAUUUCAUCCAUAUCGCAGCUGAAAGAUGCAUGCAGGAAACUCGAAGCGGCCAGUCAAAGGGCCACACAAUUUGCUGAGCCCGGCCGUUCGAAUUCUAUUUUAACUCCUGAAUUUACUUAUAAAAAUAAAAAUAAAAAUGUGGCAUAUUUGGACAACGAACAAAAUUUUCAUUCAAAUCAGGUUCAUAAUGACCAGGGUCGUUAUAAACAACAUAGCAAGUUGCAUCAAAAUCGGUUUUAUAACAGCCAGGGUAAAUAUGAACAUGGUAACCCUCACAACAAAGGACGGGUUAAUGAUAAUGACCAAACCAGGGCAGGGCCGUCACACACUGGUAACAAAUAUAGAAACCAGCGGUUAGUGAGGCAUAACGUACACUGUUACGGUUGUAAAACCCCUGGGUACACGAAGUUUACGUGUCCAAAAUGUAACAAAGCGGCUACUAGUCCAAAAAACUAGUCUGCUCGAACGAUGCCAGCAUAAAUAAAAAAUUUAAAAAAUUAAAAAGUUUCGGCACUUUGGCAUCUGUUCGAUUUCAACCAAAAAAGAAUGAUAUUAGGCCUUAUCUUAAAUUUAAAGUAGUCAACCUUGAAAUUUGUGGUCUACUUGAUUCAGGAGCAUGCAUCUCAAUACUAGGUAACAACUCUCACGAAAACUUCAUCAAAAUGGGUUUCAAGCUAGAAAAAUUUAGUAAUAUCUCCUGCACCGUGGCAAAUGGUGUUAAGCUGGAAAGUAUAGGUUACAUGUACCUACCAAUAACAUGUCAUGACACUACCUGUGCCAUUAAAUUUUUUGUUAUACCUACAAUAAUAUCGGAUAUAAUAUUAGGUAUAGAUUUUUGGAGGGCAUUCAAUAUCGCCCCAGAGAUACUAGACUGCAUUGACUAUAAGUAUCAACCAGCGAGCUUCUGCGAGACUUUGAGUACGAAUAGGGUAAACACUAUUCAGUCUUUGGAAAAUCUGUCAACCGAGCAGAAAGAACUAGCAAAUGCCAUUAUAGGGAAAUUCCAUGACAUCUCUUUUGAAUUAAAAGGUCUUGGUAGGACGUCCUUAAUAGAGCACGACAUCGACACAGGUGAUGCUCUACCCAUUAGGGUAAAACAAUAUCCGCUAUCGCCGGAAAAGAAGGUGGCGUUGCAGGAAGAGUUAAAAAAGAUGUUGGCAUUAGACGUCGUUACUCCCAGUGAAAGUCCGUGGAACAACCCAGUUAUUUUAGUCAAAAAGGCAAAUGGUGAUUGGAGGUUCUGCUUGGACUGCAGGAAGCUAAACGCAGUGACAAAGAAGGACUCGUAUGCUAUACCAUACAUUCCUCAAAUACUUGAUAGUUUGAAGGAGGCCAAAUUCCUGUCGACUAUAGAUCUGUCAUCUUCAUUUUGGCAGAUACCUCUAUCAGAACGUUCACAGGAAAAAGUGAGUUUCCAAAUUGAAGGGGCAGGAUUAUUUAAAUUCAAAGUUGUGGCCUUUGGACUUUGUAAUGCUCCGGCGCGGCAACAAAGAUUAAUGGAUAAAUUAAUAAAUCAAAACUUUUGUAGUGACGUAGACAAUGGUUAUGUUUUUUGUUAUAUAGAUGACAUUGUGAUAUGUUCAUCGGAUUUCUCUACUCACUUGUUGUUGCUAAAUAGAGUCCUGGAUAAAUUAAAGUCAGCUAACUUGACAGUGUCUUUUGACAAAUGCAAAUUCUUUAGGGAGUCAAUCAAGUAUUUAGGUUAUGUAGUUGAUGAGUUUGGGUUACAUACGGAUCCUGAUAAGAUCUCUUCAAUUUUAAAUUUUCCGACCCCAACCACAGCCCGGGAAGUAAAAGUAUUUUUAGGAACUUGCUCUUGGUACAGGCGAUUUAUUCGUAACUUUUCAACAAUUGCAGCACCGCUGAACAAGCUGACCAGCAAAGGGAGGAACGCGCCGAGGUUCCAGUGGAACGAGGCAGCUGACAAGGCCUUCUCGUUGCUAAAAAAUGCAUUGGUGUCAGCUCCAGUAUUAGCAGUUCCUGAUUUUAGUAAGCCUUUUACUGUCCAUUGUGAUGCUUCGUCGUACGGUUUGGGGGGAAUGUUGUCACAGAUGAUCGAGGGUCACGAUCAUCCGAUAGCUUAUGUUAGUAGAUCUUUAAAUAAGAAUGAAAGGAACUACAGUGCUACGGAACGGGAGGCCCUAGCAGUCAUAUUUGCAGUCGAAAAGUUCCAAGCGUACUUAGGAAGUAGGAAGUUCACGAUAGUUACAGACCAUUCGUCUUUAAAGUGGUUUUUGAAUUUGGAAAAUCCUUCUGGUAGGUUAGCUCGAUGGGGUUGCCGACUGUCUCAAUUCGAUUUUGAGAUAGAACAUAGAAAAGGCACAGACAAUGUAGUUCCUGAUGCUCUAUCGCGACUCAUGAAAGUUGAGGCAAUCCAUGCAACGUCUGAUACACCUACCUCAGGUAUGAAAGAUGAAUGGUAUGAGAGGAUAAAAAAUAAUUGUGUUUCUAAACCUACACACUUUCCAAAUUAUAUGGUUAAAGAUAAUAUUUUAUUUCGCUUAAGUAAAAGCAAGUAUGAUCUAAUAAGCGAGUUUGAUUGGAAAGAGGUCAUUCCAAAAGGUUUGAGAAACAAAAUUAUAAGUGAGAACCAUUGUGAACCAACAGCUGCACACCUAGGUGUUUUUAAAACACAUAGACGCUUAUGUUUAAGAUAUUUCUGGCCGGGUAUGUACAAAGACAUAGAAAAUUUCGUAAAAUCAUGUGACGUAUGUAAAGCAUAUAAACAUUCUACACAAGCAGUCCCUGGUUUGAUGGGGAAACCAAAGGUAUGUUCACGUCCCUUCCAAGUAGUGAGUUUGGACUUAGCGGGUCCACUUCCACGAAGUAGGUCUGGAUACACAUAUCUGCUAGUAAUAACGUGCGUUUUCUCUAAAUACACUCUACUAUUUCCGUUACGCCGCGCAACAUCAGCGUUGGUGGCUAAAAACUUCGAAGACGGGUUGGUCCUGGUACAUGGAGCGCCGGAGACGGUAAUCCUGGACAACGGAACACAAAUGACCGGUUCCGAGUUCAGGAAUGUCAUAAAGCGCUACAACGUGCCAAGGCUUCACUAUACUCCUCGUUACACUCCGCAAGUAAACCUGGUAGAACGCUACAACAAAACAAUUAUGACCGCUGUAGCGUCGUAUGUAGAAGAGGAUCAUCGAACCUGGGACCUAAAUCUAAGAAAGAUCCAGUUCGCAAUAAAUAGCGCGAUAAAUGAAUCGACUGGGUUUUCACCGUUUUUCUUAGUACACGCCCGUGAGCCAGUGAUAAACGGAGAUUUCUACUUAGAUACGCAGAGUGAGUACAAGGUAGCUAUGCCACGUGAUGAAUAUGCUGGGAAGUUUGGAUGCAUGGAGGAGAUUUAUGAUAGUGUUCGCAAGAAACUUCUAGAGGCACACGCUAGGAACGCACAAUAUUAUAACCGUAGGCGAAGAAAUGCUAGAUUCGCAGUAGGGGAUUGGGUAUGGAAAACCACAUAUACACAAAGUGACGCGCAAAAAUUCAAAAUGGCAAAGCUUGCUCCUAAAUACGAAAAGUGUAAAAUAGUCAAAGUAUUGUCACCACUAGUAUACGAACUAGAGAGGAAAGACGGUACAAAAAUAGGCUCUUGGCAUAUUAAAGACCUAAAACGGUAGACUAACUCAUAUAUUCGUCCAUAAAGUGUAUAAAUACUAAGUUAGGUACUUAAACACACAAGAAGAAUGGUAAAGUACACUUAUAAAUACAAAUAGGUUACUACAGUUUGAUAGAGUGAUGAAUGAAAGGUCAGUAUAAAUGAUGAGGUAGGUGUGUAUUAGAAAUGGAUGGAUCAAGUUGGAUUGGGUUAGUCGGAAAUUCCUGAAAGGUGAUUAGAGAAAUAUUAUUAUCACGCUAUGAACAAAAUAUAGUUCGUGAGAUAUUUACUGUGCUGUGUUUAACACAGAGACGCUUUGUUCCCAGAGAUCUGUUAGCAAUCGUUGUGCUAGGAAUUAUUCCCAGACUCUGGGCAAUUAUUAUGGAGUCAUAUGAACUCAUUUCACAUGGAGACUCAGUCCCAUGUUGGUAUAUGGUAUAGUGAUAAAAUGUAUUACAGUUUGAAAUAGGCUGUGUUAGAUCAAGCUGCAUGAAGCAACAAGAUCGUUUAUGAUAUUUUCAUAAGUUAUUCUCCAGUAGUGUUGUUUAGUUUUAGAAUUUCUUAUAGAGUUAGGUGGGCGUAGUUUAAAGAAGAUAGUGAAUAAUUUAGGUGAUUGAACCUAACAUUAUAAUAGGUAGCCGGAAAUUAUUGUUAUUAGUUGCCGACGAGCAAAAAUAGAUAGAGUUAUUAUGUUUGCUAUUAUUUUAUGAGAGUAUAAAUUCAAGAUGUAAAAUAGAACCAGGCAUUUUUGUUACAGCAAAGGGAAACCGGAACAAGUAUCUACAUCAACGUUAGUUAUAGUUUAAUUUUAGGUAUCAUCGGUAUUUAGGUAUAUAUAUUUUUUUUUCUUUUACUUAUAUUUUCUUUAUGUAGUUUAGAUGAGUGUUUUAUUCCAUUAUCAGUGUUAGCAUAGAGUGUUUUUUUUUUUUUUUUUUAUAACGUCGUUACAGAUGAUUGCUUCUUAGAGCGCUGAGGGCAGCGAAAGUUUUUUGGUAGCAAAAAACUUCUACUAUUUUGGGGGGUAUUGUAACGUCGUGGAUUUUAAUUUUGGGUGGUCAAAUUUGGAAUCUCUAGGUUUGUUUCGAAAGGCAGCGACAUCGAUGAAUGUCGUAGAGAUUACGAGGUUCGCUGCUAGAUGGCGCUUAUAUUAAAGUGCUCAGACAAAUAAAUAUGGACAAGUAGUUGGAGCUUUAUAAUCUGUAUAUAGACUUAAUAUAUGGUUAGAGGUAUUCCACAAGUAACGAAAGGUAUGGAAUCCGAAACCGACUUUAAAAACAAAUGUCACAUAUUAUCUGUGCAAUUUGUUGAUUGUACUCUGUAAGAAAGAUGAAUCGGUAACUUUAUAGCUUUGCUAUUGGUGAGGUUUUUUAUGAAGAAAGUCCCGUUAUCUUCUCGUUAUAUACUCGGGCACGUUCGAGUUUUUUUCUUUUGGCUGGCUGAAAUUUGGAGACAUGUAGUUGACUUUCCAAAACAUUAAAUUUACUUAGAGGCAGUGAUGUAAGAUACUUGGUAAGACUCGAAUUUAUAUUUGGUUAGCAUUCGUGAUUAUCGAAUUUUGUUGUGCUAAAGAGACAAAUUCUUGCAGUUCCGGUCAACCAUAAAAAUUUCCCGUGAGAUGUUAAGAUGGCUACCUACUGGGAACUAGGGCGGGAUAUCCUUUUAAGGAUGGGAAUGUAAUAUAUUCUGAACUUAACCUAACCUAUAUACGUGACCUAAUGUAAUCACACUUCUUCUUAAUACAACCACGUUAUUAUGUAGAAACGUAGAUUGGUUGUAGACAUUUGAAACGCCGGUUCUGAAACCUUUGGUCAUUCUUGGAACAUUUUUAUGGAACCUGAGUUGACUAUUACAUUUAAUCAUUUGCACGCGUCGAGUAGCAUGCUGUUAGCGGCGUAAAUCUUGGAGGUUCGCUGGCCGCCAGACAAAAUGACGGACGGAUGAAUGCAACAGCAAGGUCAGCGACCGCGUGGUGUCAGCUUCCAUCAUAAACGUCAGGUCGUACCUAUUCUUUCUUUUGUUAAAUGGAGUCAUGCUAAAACUUCUAUUUUUAUAUAUUGUUUUUUUUAAAAGGAUGCGUUACAUUAAUUGUUGGUGGUGAUUCGGAUAUACCGUUCAGAUUACAAUAAGAUUUAGAGAUAACUAGACCUCUUUCGUGAGUGUUUAAAAUGCAACGUGUUUGUUGUCCCUUUAGUAUAAACGUGUGUAAUUGCUAAGCGAACUUAAAUGGAAUCAUCCUUGUGGAUUUGGCUGGUAGCGAUGUGAAUUCAUAACUUCUAGUGCGUUGUUCGACGGACCCACUUUAAAUACCUAGCCGUGGCAGUGGUUUGGUCAACAAAAAUCCAAACGCUAUAUCGACACCAUCUAAUCCCCAAGGAUUGGUAUAAUAAAACAAAUAUUUGAGAUAACCACUGUUUAUUUACAAAGUAUGUACAAAGUAACUUAACAUUUAGGAAACCUGGUUUUUUUUAUGUAAUUUAACCCAUUAAUAUUUUGUCCUUUUAGGGUUUCUCAAGGGUUUAGCAUUACUUUUAUAUUGUAAAAAAAAGGGUUCAUCUAAAAAUAUAGAAGCCAAAUACCGGUGAUUACUGUAAAA
Molecule: RNA transcript, 9173 nt
Organism: Bicyclus anynana (squinting bush brown)
Lineage: Eukaryota; Metazoa; Arthropoda; Insecta; Lepidoptera; Nymphalidae
Gene name: alpha-N-acetylgalactosaminidase
Exons: 2
Source: RefSeq, a predicted model, not a curated record